GCGCAGCAGUCGCGAAAACUCCGCAAUACACGAAAGUGUGACGGGGUCAUCCCGAGUGCCGUCCGCUGAGGACGGCUUCUCCUCAGUGUAGAUAGCUGGGGGAAUAAGGAGAGGGCAAGUCUGGUGUCAGCCGCCGCGGUAAUACCAGCUCUCCGAGUGGUGGGGACGUUUAUUGGGCCUAAAGCAUCCGUAACCGGCUGGACAAGUCCCCCGUUAAAUCCAGCGAUUCAAUCGUUGGACUGCAGGGGAUACUGCCCAGCUAGGGGACGAGAAAGGCCGACGGUAUUCCCGGGGUAGGGGUGAAAUCCUAUAAUCCCGGGAGGACCACCAGUGGCGAAGGCUGUCGGCUGGAACGCACCCGACGGUGAGGGAUGAAAGCUGGGGGAGCGAACCGGAUUAGAUACCCGGGUAGUCCCAGCCGUAAACGAUGCAAGCUAGGUGUUCGAGUGGCUACGUGCCACUCGAGUGCCGCAGGGAAGCCGAUAAGCUUGCCGCCUGGGGAGUACGGCCGCAAGGCUGAAACUUAAAGGAAUUGGCGGGGGAGCACCACAAGGGGUGAAGCUUGCGGNUUAAUUGGAUUCNACGCCNGGAAGGGCGAAU
Molecule: ribosomal RNA, 600 nt
Filed under: uncultured crenarchaeote
Lineage: Archaea; Thermoproteati; Thermoproteota
Description: bacterial SSU rRNA
Rfam family: Archaeal small subunit ribosomal RNA
Source: RNAcentral